GGUCCGGCUAAUUACGUGCCAGCAGCCGCGGUAAUACGUAAGGACCGAGCGUUGUCCGGAAUCAUUGGGCGUAAAGAGUACGUAGGCGGUAUGAUAAGUUAGGAGUAAAAGGCACCGGCUCAACCGGCGUAAGCUUUUAAAACUGUCAUACUUGAGACAUUGAGGGGAAAGUGGAAUUUCUAGUGUAGCGGUGAAAUGCGCAGAUAUUAGGAAGAAUACCAGAGGCGAAAGCGACUUUCUAGCGAUGAUCUGACGCUGAGGUACGAAAGCGUGGGAAGCAAACAGGAUCAGAUACCCUGGUAGUCCACGCUGUAAACGAUGAGUGCAAGGUGUUGGGGGUCAAACCUCGGUGCCGCCGUUAACACAGUAAGCACUCCGCCUGGGGAGUACGUACGCA
RNAcentral lists this ribosomal RNA (397 nucleotides) under uncultured bacterium. Its description in RNAcentral is "bacterial SSU rRNA". It matches the Rfam family "Bacterial small subunit ribosomal RNA", at positions 490 to 890 of the family's 1533-position model. The record is from RNAcentral.